RNAcentral lists this ribosomal RNA (524 nucleotides) under uncultured bacterium. Its description in RNAcentral is "partial 16S ribosomal RNA". It matches the Rfam family "Bacterial small subunit ribosomal RNA", at positions 28 to 523 of the family's 1533-position model. The record is from RNAcentral.
GACGAACGCUGGCGGCGUGCCUAAUACAUGCAAGUCGAGCGCAGGAAACUGAUGGAACUCUUCGGAGGGAAGGCAGUGGAAUGAGCGGCGGACGGGUGAGUAACACGUAAGGAACCUGCCUCAAGGAAUGGGAUAACUCCGAGAAAUCGGAGCUAAUACCGGAUAGUUCAACGGACCGCAUGGUCCGUUGAUGAAAGGCGCUCCGGCGUCACCUUGAGAUGGCCUUGCGGUGCAUUAGCUAGUUGGUGGGGUAACGGCUCACCAAGGCGACGGUGCGUAGCCGACCUGAGAGGGUGAUCGGCCACACUGGGACUGAGACACGGCCCAGACUCCUACGGGAGGCAGCAGUAGGGAAUCUUCCACAAUGGACGAAAGUCUGAUGGAGCAACGCCGCGUGAGUGAUGAAGGUUUUCGGAUCGUAAAACUCUGUUGUAAGGGAAGAACACGUACGAGAGGAAAUGCUCGUACCUUGACGGUACCUUACGAGAAAGCCACGGCUAACUACGUGCCAGCCGCCGCCGUAA